This 468-nucleotide ribosomal RNA is filed under the name uncultured bacterium. RNAcentral's name for it is "partial 16S ribosomal RNA". It matches the Rfam family "Bacterial small subunit ribosomal RNA", at positions 28 to 507 of the family's 1533-position model. The record is from RNAcentral.
GACGAACGCUGGCGGCGUGCUUAACACAUGCAAGUCGAACGGAAAGGCCCUGCUUUUGUGGGGUGCUCGAGUGGCGAACGGGUGAGUAACACGUGAGUAACCUGCCCUUGACUUUGGGAUAACUUCAGGAAACUGGGGCUAAUACCGGAUAGGAGCUCCUGCUGCAUGGUGGGGGUUGGAAAGUUUCGGCGGUUGGGGAUGGACUCGCGGCUUAUCAGCUUGUUGGUUGGGUAGUGGCUUACCAAGGCUUUGACGGGUAGCCGGCCUGAGAGGGUGACCGGCCACAUUGGGCCUGAGAUACGGCCCAGACUCCUACGGGAGGCAGCAGUGGGGAAUAUUGCCCAAUGGGCGGAAGCCUGAUGCAGCAACGCCGCGUGCGGGAUGACGGCCUUCGGGUUGUAAACCGCUUUCGCCUGUGACGAAGCGUGAGUGACGGUAAUGGGUAAAGAAGCACCGGCUAACUACGUG